CCCAACACUGAAUUCCACGUGCUUCCGCUUUGGAUCCGCAUAACUUUUCUGCCUACUAAAAGCUAUCUUCAGUCGCUCGCGAAUAACCGGAAUCUUUUCUGAAGUGAUCUGAACCAAUUCCGAUCCUGCUAACUUCCGUUCACCAACUUCUUCCCAACAUACGGGGGAUCUACACUUCCGACCAUACAAGGCCUCGAAAGGUGCCAUUUUGAUACUUGCAUGAUAGCU
Molecule: long non-coding RNA, 228 nt
Filed under: Ricinus communis (castor bean)
Lineage: Eukaryota; Viridiplantae; Streptophyta; Magnoliopsida; Malpighiales; Euphorbiaceae
Description: long non-coding RNA (RCOM_LNC001228)
Source: RNAcentral